GACGAACGCUGGCGGCGUGCUUAACACAUGCAAGUCGAACGGCAAGGCCUGCUUUCCCUUGUGGUUUGCGGGUACUCGAGUGGCCAACGGGUGAGUAACACGUGAUUGAUCUUCCCCCAACUUGGGUCUUAGCCUGGGAAACUCGGUCUACUUCUCGAUAGGACUGCAGGGUGCUGCCUGUGGUGGAAACCGAUUUUCUUGUGUUCGGGGAUGUGCUCGCGGCCUAUCAGCUUGUUGGUGGGGUAAUGGCCUACCAAGGCGUCGAGGGGUAGCCGGACUGAGAGGGUGGACGGCCACAUUGGGACUGGGAUACGACCCAGACUGCUACGGGAGGCAGGAGUGGGGAAUAUUGCACAAUGAGCGGGAGCCUGAUGCAGCGAGGCCGCGUGGGGGAUGACGGCGUUCGGGUUGUAAACUCCUGGCGACGGCGAGGAAGACACCUGGUUGGAAGGGUGGUGACGGUAGUGGUAGAAGAAGCACCGGCUAACUACGUG
RNAcentral lists this ribosomal RNA (494 nucleotides) under uncultured bacterium. RNAcentral's name for it is "partial 16S ribosomal RNA". It matches the Rfam family "Bacterial small subunit ribosomal RNA", at positions 28 to 507 of the family's 1533-position model. The record is from RNAcentral.